UACUGCCGUGAAUACGUUCCCGGGCCUUGUACACACCGCCCGUCACACCAUGAGAGUUGGAGAUACCCGAAGCCUGUGAGCUAACAAACGAGGCAGCAGUCGAAGGUAGAAUCAAUGAUUGGGGUGAAGUCGUAACAAGGUAAC
RNAcentral lists this ribosomal RNA (144 nucleotides) under uncultured bacterium. RNAcentral describes it as "partial 16S ribosomal RNA". It matches the Rfam family "Bacterial small subunit ribosomal RNA", at positions 1355 to 1500 of the family's 1533-position model. The record is from RNAcentral.